Molecule: ribosomal RNA, 890 nt
Filed under: uncultured bacterium
Lineage: Bacteria
Description: bacterial SSU rRNA
Rfam family: Bacterial small subunit ribosomal RNA
Source: RNAcentral
GGCUCAGAACGAACGCUGGCGGCGUGCCUAACACAUGCAAGUCGAGCGCGAACGACCCCUUCGGGGGACUAGUAGAGCGGCGGACGGGUGAGUAAUACAUGGAUAAUCUCCCUUCGAGCCCGGGAUAACAGCGCGAAAGUGCUGCUAAUACCGGAUAAGACCACGUCACCGAGGUGAUGCGGGAAAAGGUGGCUUUAUUUUCGGAUGAGGCUAUCACUUGAUGAUGAGUCCAUGGCCUAUCAGCUUGUUGGCGAGGUAACGGCUCACCAAGGCGAUGACGGGUAGCUGGUCUGAGAGGACGACCAGCCACACUGGGACUGAGACACGGCCCAGACUCCUACGGGAGGCAGCAGUGGGGAAUAUUGGGCAAUGGGCGAAAGCCUGACCCAGCGACGCCGUGUGGGUGAUGAAGGCCUUCGGGUUGUAAAGCCCUGUUGGGUGGAAAGAAGGGCUUUUGGACGAAUAAUCCAGAAGUCUUGACGGUACCACCAGAGGAAGCACCGGCUAACUCCGUGCCAGCAGCCGCGGUAAUACGGAGGGUGCAAGCGUUGUUCGGAAUUACUGGGCGUAAAGGGCGCGUAGGUGGUUGUGUAAGUCAGAUGUGAAAUCCCGAGGCUCAACUUCGGAACUGCAUCUGAUACUGCAUGACUCGAGUGCAGCAGAGGGAAACGGAAUUCCUGGUGUAGAGGUGAAAUUCGUAGAUAUCAGGAGGAACACCGGUGGCGAAGGCGGUUUCCUGGGCUGACACUGACACUGAGGCGCGAAAGCGUGGGUAGCAAACAGGAUUAGAUACCCUGGUAGUCCACGCCGUAAACGGUGAAUACUGGGUGUGGGAGGUGUAAUGCCUUCUGUGCCGAAGCUAACGCGUUAAGUAUUCCGCCUGGGGAGUA